CGAUUGCUCCCAGCCCCACUAGUCCUUCUAAAGAAGCAGCAGCCAGACUUCAGGAAAUGGUGAGGACAGUUGCAAGGCAACCCUGACUUGAGUUGGAGAGAACUGAGACAGGGCAAGGCAGAGAACGGUGCUUCUGCUUAUUCUCCAGAUGCUGCUGCUUGUCGGCCGGGCAGGGGGGGCCCUUUGUAGACAAGAGCUCUUUGUCAAGGUGAGCUUAGGGAGGACGCUCGCUCCACCACGGGGCAGGAUGGCACGGAGCUCAGCAGGGACUUCGCUGCACUGAGGAUGAGAUCUACCAGGAUUCCCAAGGCUGGGGAGACAGGUUAUCUUGGGAGGGAAACAACCGCCCCACUCCGCAGCACUGAUUUUAGACUUUCCUGGGCUUAGUGCAACUAUUACAGAUAGAAGAGGUUUCAAAGCUGCAGAGCAAGUCAGGACUGGCCAAACUAUGUGGCUCUGUGUCCCUGUGCUUUCCUCCCCCCUCCCCUUCUGCUUGGCUUGAUUGCCUCCACCCGGGGGGAGCUAAGCAGGCUGCUGAGCCAGGGGAGGCUGUAGCUGGAGAGGGCCCCCAAGCAGCAAGCCCCUGGGAGUUUUGCUGGCUCCUUCUCUGCUUCCCCUGGCUCGCUCUGCAGCAGGAGACACGGGGGAAACUUUCAAGAGGGCCACAGGAUGCAGGGCCCUGAGGCAGGAGUGGCCUCAGGUGGGCAAUACAGGGCGGAGGUUCAGGUCUCUAGGGAGUGGUCUUGAGAACUUGGAUAGAUACACAUCCGUCAGGCUCCUACCACUCCACAGACUGGCGCGUUCUCA
Molecule: long non-coding RNA, 807 nt
Filed under: Marmota monax (woodchuck)
Lineage: Eukaryota; Metazoa; Chordata; Mammalia; Rodentia; Sciuridae
Source: RNAcentral